This 305-nucleotide ribosomal RNA is filed under the name uncultured bacterium. RNAcentral describes it as "bacterial SSU rRNA". It matches the Rfam family "Bacterial small subunit ribosomal RNA", at positions 335 to 657 of the family's 1533-position model. The record is from RNAcentral.
GCUCCUACGGGAGGCAGCAGUGGGGGAUAUUGCACAAUGGGGGAAACCCUGAUGCAGCGACGCCGCGUGAGCGAUGAAGUAUUUCGGUAUGUAAAGCUCUAUCAGCAGGGAAGAAAAUGACGGUACCUGACUAAGAAGCCCCGGCUAACUACGUGCCAGCAGCCGCGGUAAUACGUAGGGAGCAAGCGUUAUCCGGAUUUAUUGGGUGUAAAGGGUGCGUAGACGGGAAAACAAGUUGGUUGUGAAAUCCCUCGGCUUAACUGAGGAACUGCAACCAAAACUAUUUUUCUUGAGUGCUGGAGAGG